GCCAAACUCUCCAGAAGACCCUUGGAAAUGUGUACAACCAUGGAUGUUCAGGUCUGAACGGGACUCCAGAGAUCAUCUGGUCCAAAUAUUUACUCUAUAUAUGAUGGAAUCCAUGAGAAGAGCUGAAAUCUCAGAUCACUCUGUUCUUAUCUCCAUAAUGUACGUGUUUUAUUGUUAUCCAGGGCAGGGCUCAUCUCUCAUUCGCCGGUAUAUUCAAGAACAUAAAAGUGUUGCCCAUUCCUGUUCUAUGAUUAAAAUUAAUGAGAAGAUGUAUUGUUACAGUGUUUAAGAAAAGGCACUUAUCAUUGAAGAAGACAAAUGUAGAGACAUCCCCAAGUGAAACAAUCUAUUUAUACAGCUCAGAAACUUACUUAACACAGGACUGAGUAUACCUUGAAGCAAUCUCCAGAGAAGAGCUCCUACUACUAGAACUCCUACUAUGAAGCCCACAGCUUCACCAGAGAAUUCUUCUUGCAGAAGAUGAAAGCAAUGACAAAGACCUCUUAUAUCUCUUCUCCUUUUGUAAAUAAAACUCCUAUCAAUUUUAUAUGUCUUUCUGGGAAUAAGAAAGACAGUCACACAAUGUAUCGUUCACCUUGUAAAAUGUGACAUUACAAAUGACUGCCAAAAGUAUGGAACUUUUUUAUUGAAAGCUCUAUUAAGUCAUACAAGUAAUUUACUUCCCCCAAAAUAUAUUUACUACUGUGCCUAUUCUGUGGAGUCUCACCAACAGAAGUGCACGCAGACUGCUGCUUUUGAAAAUUAAAGAAAAAUAUGCAUGACUAUGUUAUUGAUGAAUGAGAAAUCAUAUACUGUUUAAAAUAAUGUACAUCUUGGAGUUUAUAGAAAAUAAUUUCUACUUGUGUGCAGAAUCAUGCCUUAAUAAUAAACCUUUACUGAUCACUUAA
Mustela lutreola (European mink) is the source of this 908-nucleotide long non-coding RNA. RefSeq lists it as uncharacterized. The transcript is spliced from 5 exons. The record is from RefSeq and is a predicted model, not a curated record. Lineage: Eukaryota; Metazoa; Chordata; Mammalia; Carnivora; Mustelidae.